This 574-nucleotide ribosomal RNA is filed under the name uncultured bacterium. RNAcentral's name for it is "partial 16S ribosomal RNA". It matches the Rfam family "Bacterial small subunit ribosomal RNA", at positions 355 to 919 of the family's 1533-position model. The record is from RNAcentral.
UGGGGAAUUUUGGACAAUGGGCGAAAGCCUGAUCCAGCAAUGCCGCGUGUGUGAAGAAGGCCUUCGGGUUGUAAAGCACUUUUGUCCGGAAAGAAAUCCUUGGCUCUAAUACAGUCGGGGGAUGACGGUACCGGAAGAAUAAGCACCGGCUAACUACGUGCCAGCAGCCGCGGUAAUACGUAGGGUGCAAGCGUUAAUCGGAAUUACUGGGCGUAAAGCGUGCGCAGGCGGUUUGCUAAGACCGAUGUGAAAUCCCCGGGCUCAACCUGGGAACUGCACUGGUGACUGGCAGGCUAGAGUAUGGCAGAGGGGGGUAGAAUUCCACGUGUAGCAGUGAAAUGCGUAGAGAUGUGGAGGAAUACCGAUGGCGAAGGCAGCCCCCUGGGCCAAUACUGACGCUCAUGCACGAAAGCGUGGGGGAGCAAACAGGAUUAGAUACCCUGGUAGUCCACGCCCUAAACGAUGUCAACUAGUUGUUGGGGACUUCAUUUCCUUAGUAACGUAGCUAACGCGUGAAGUUGACCGCCUGGGGGAGUACGGUCGAAAGAUUAAAACUUAAAGGAAUUGACGGGGU